GUUCUGGAUGCUCCAACACUGGAGGUUUUCAAAAAGAGAUUGGACAGCCACUGGUCUGAAAUGGCAGAGGGUCUUCCUGCUUCAGCAGGGGGCUGGACUAGAAGACCUCCAAGGUCCCUUCCAACCCUAUUCUGAUUCUGA
Non-coding RNA from Notechis scutatus (mainland tiger snake), 141 nucleotides. NCBI's taxonomy places the organism in Eukaryota, Metazoa, Chordata, Lepidosauria, Squamata, Elapidae. The record is from RefSeq and is a predicted model, not a curated record.